GCCUCUUCUAAAUAGCCAUUCGGAGGUCGGAGUAGUGGAAAUAUAGGAUCAUGUCUUUAUUGCAAUAGAGAGAAACAGUCCAAACUGAUUCACAGAGCUUGACAUUUCGCAUAAGUACAAGUUAUCAGUUACAAAGGAAUGUGAGCUACCCCCUAUUCUACAGUUUCUCACAAUAUAAUACACAAAGAUUUUCUUGCAAGAAGGGGGAGCCCUAGCAUUUGUUGACCUUGAAAUACUUAUAGUUACUAACAGCAAUAUGUGUUAAAUUAUACAAGCAAUUUAAACGUCUUAUCCCUUUACGUAUCAGACAGCAAGCUCAUG
Molecule: non-coding RNA, 321 nt
Organism: Pelobates cultripes (western spadefoot toad)
Lineage: Eukaryota; Metazoa; Chordata; Amphibia; Anura; Pelobatidae
Source: the annotation of a GenBank genome assembly